Molecule: ribosomal RNA, 193 nt
Filed under: Acinetobacter baumannii
Lineage: Bacteria; Pseudomonadati; Pseudomonadota; Gammaproteobacteria; Moraxellales; Moraxellaceae
Also listed under: 2 other names
Description: partial 16S ribosomal RNA
Rfam family: Bacterial small subunit ribosomal RNA
Source: RNAcentral
AAAUUGAAGAGUUUGAUCAUGGCUCAGAUUGAACGCUGGCGGCAGGCCUAACACAUGCAAGUCGAACGGUAACAGGAAGCAGCUUGCUGCUUUGCUGACGAGUGGCGGACGGGUGAGUAAUGUCUGGGAAACUGCCUGAUGGAGGGGGAUAACUACUGGAAACGGUAGCUAAUACCGCAUAACGUCGCAAGAC